Molecule: long non-coding RNA, 590 nt
Filed under: Struthio camelus australis
Lineage: Eukaryota; Metazoa; Chordata; Aves; Struthioniformes; Struthionidae
Description: lncRNA (ENSSCUG00000003906.1)
Source: RNAcentral
AAUUCUAUGUUACUAUUACUGUGUAUUGAGAAAAUAGAAACUGGAAAAAAUUCCUGUCAUGCAGGAAGGGCUGAUGGGGCAGAAGCCAAGUGAUACGGAGGAAUUAUUGAAACAAUCUCAAAAAGAGCUACUGUGGCUUCAGAGACAGCUGUCCUUUAUCUCAUCAGGUGGCCCUAUGUGUGUUUUGGCAGCUAGCAAGUUUGGAAAUGAUCCGUCAUGUUUACAGCCUGCAGCAUCGCAAAAAGCAUUUGAUCGGACCCAGAUUUUAGAGGAAACCCAGAUUUCUAAGUCUCAUGUCACAACAUUAAGUCAAGAGUAUUGCCACUGGCGGUUUUUAGUAAGUCCUCACUUUGUUUUUAUUGUUUUCAAGGCAACUGAUGAAUUUAAAGACAAAUCUAGUUUUGCACACCAUGCUGCUUUUUCUUGCAUGCGCACUAACACCAUUGGUUUGGCAGGGGGAAGAAAGUGUUUCAACUCCACAGUCUUUAUAGAAACAGAUUCUCUGUAUUGAUUUCUUCAAAUCUGGUAGCUCUGUAGUAGCAUUUCAAUGAUAAAAUAAAUUUGGACUUGGAACAUAAUUUUAAGUAUGA